RNAcentral lists this non-coding RNA (176 nucleotides) under Tissierella sp. RNAcentral describes it as "6S RNA". It matches the Rfam family "6S / SsrS RNA". From Rfam's summary of the family: E. coli 6S RNA was the first non coding RNA to be sequenced, but its function was unknown until recently. The record is from RNAcentral. Lineage: Bacteria; Bacillati; Bacillota; Tissierellia; Tissierellales; Tissierellaceae.
AGAUGCCUAUGGUGUACGCAUACUCAGAUAAUUCAACCGACAACUCAGACACGGGAGUCUGCGUUUAGUAGUUAAUAACAAGCCUCCCCGAGAGGACGUUAGAAGUUGCUAGCAAGAAACCCCCCUUUAACUAGGCGGGUGUGAAUUAGAUGAGAAAGCGGCAUUGUGGGUCUUAG